Molecule: unclassified non-coding RNA, 204 nt
Filed under: Hevea brasiliensis (rubber tree)
Lineage: Eukaryota; Viridiplantae; Streptophyta; Magnoliopsida; Malpighiales; Euphorbiaceae
Source: RNAcentral
GACAGUGUAGACAAGAACAAAGGUGCCAAUGAUCUCAGCACCCAAUCCAGUUCCCUUGUUGUACCCAUCCGAUAAUUCAUUGGCCCCACCUCCAUACCUGUUAUAAUAAGCCUUUUGGAAGGCCUUCACUAAACCACACCCACAGAUUGCACCCAAGCACUGUGCUACCAUGUAUAAAAGGGCCCUGAUUAGUGACACCUUGCG